RNAcentral lists this transfer RNA (78 nucleotides) under Prevotella sp. RNAcentral's name for it is "tRNA-Arg". It matches the Rfam family "tRNA". Rfam says of the family: Transfer RNA (tRNA) molecules are approximately 80 nucleotides in length. The record is from RNAcentral. Lineage: Bacteria; Pseudomonadati; Bacteroidota; Bacteroidia; Bacteroidales; Prevotellaceae.
GAGGCUAUAGCUCAAUGGAUAGAGCGCUACCCUCCGAAGGUAGGACUUGUGUGAGUUCGAUUCUCACUAGCCUCACCA